UACGGAGGGUGCAAGCGUUAAUCGGAUUUAUUGGGCGUAAAGGGCGUGUAGGCGGAUUGGAAAGUUGACUGUGAAAUUUUCGGGCUCAACCCGGAACCUGCAUUCAAAACUUCCAACCUUGAGGAUAGACGGAGAAAACGGAAUUCCACAUGUAGCGGUGAAAUGCGUAGAUAUGUGGAAGAACACCUGUGGCGAAAAGCGGUUUUCUAGUUUACUCCUGACGCUGAGGCGCGGAGAGACAAGGGGUAGCGGAACAAGGAUUAGAUACCCCCCGUAGGUCC
This 281-nucleotide ribosomal RNA is filed under the name uncultured bacterium. RNAcentral describes it as "partial 16S ribosomal RNA". It matches the Rfam family "Bacterial small subunit ribosomal RNA", at positions 524 to 796 of the family's 1533-position model. The record is from RNAcentral.